GAUGAAGAACGUAGCGAAAUGCGAUAAGUAAUGUGAAUUGCAGAAUUCAGUGAAUCAUCGAAUCUUUGAACGCACAUUGCGCCCGCUAGUAUUCUGGCGGGCAUGCCUGUUCGAGCGUCAUUUCAACCCUCAGGCCCCCGGGCCUGGCGUUGGGGAUCGGCGGAGCCCCCCGUGGGCACACGCCGUCCCCCAAAUACAGUGGCGGUCCCGCCGCAGCUUCCAUCGCGUAGUAGCUAACACCUCGCGACUGGAGAGCGGCGCGGCCACGCCGUAAAACACCCAACUCUUCUGAAGUUGACCUCGAAUCAGGUAGGAAUACCCGCUGAACUUAAGCAUAUCAAUAAGCGGAGGA
Molecule: unclassified non-coding RNA, 352 nt
Filed under: soil metagenome
Description: partial contains 5.8S ribosomal RNA, internal transcribed spacer 2, and large subunit ribosomal RNA
Rfam family: 5.8S ribosomal RNA (bases 1-120)
Source: RNAcentral